ACGCUGGCGGCGUGCCUAAUACAUGCAAGUCGAACGCACGAAGUUGAAGAGCUUGCUCUUUAACCAAGUGAGUGGCGGACGGGUGAGUAACACGUGGGUAACCUGCCCAUUAGAGGGGGAUAACAUUCGGAAACGGAUGCUAAUACCGCAUAGUUUCAGGAAUCGCAUGAUUCUUGAAGGAAAGGUGGCUUCGGCUACCACUAAUGGAUGGACCCGCGGCGUAUUAGCUAGUUGGUGAGGUAAUGGCUCACCAAGGCAAUGAUACGUAGCCGACCUGAGAGGGUGAUCAGCCACACUGGAACUGAGACACGGUCCAGACUCCUACGGGAGGCAGCAGUGGGGAAUUUUGGACAAUGGGCGAAAGCCUGAUCCAGCAAUGCCGCGUGAGUGAAGAAGGCCUUCGGGUUGUAAAGCUCUUUUGUCAGGGAAGAAACGGUGAAAGCUAAUAUCUUUUGCUAAUGACGGUACCUGAAGAAUAAGCACCGGCUAACUACGUGCCAGCAGCCGCGGUAAUACGUAGGGUGCAAGCGUUAAUCGGAAUUACUGGGCGUAAAGCGUGCGCAGGCGGUUUUGUAAGUCUGAUGUGAAUCCCGGGCUCAACCUGGGAAUUGCAUUGAAACUGCAGGCUAGAAUCUGGCGGA
RNAcentral lists this ribosomal RNA (641 nucleotides) under uncultured bacterium. RNAcentral's name for it is "bacterial SSU rRNA". It matches the Rfam family "Bacterial small subunit ribosomal RNA", at positions 33 to 655 of the family's 1533-position model. The record is from RNAcentral.